AGUGAACGCUGGCGGUAGGCCUAACACAUGCGAGUCGAACGGCAGCACAGUAAGAGCUUGUUCUUACGGGUGGCGAGUGGCGGACGGGUGAGGAAUACAUCGGAAUCUACUUUUUCGUGGGGGAUAACGUAGGGAAACUUACGCUAAUACCGCAUACGACCUACGGGUGAAAGCAGGGGAUCUUCGGACCUUGCGCGAUUGAAUGAGCCGAUGUCGGAUUAGCUAGUUGGCGGGGUAAAGGCCCACCAAGGCGACGAUCCGUAGCUGGUCUGAGAGGAUGAUCAGCCACACUGGAACUGAGACACGGUCCAGACUCCUACGGGAGGCAGCAGUGGGGAAUAUUGGACAAUGGGCGCAAGCCUGAUCCAGCCAUACCGCGUGGGUGAAGAAGGCCUUCGGGUUGUAAAGCCCUUUUGUUGGGAAAGAAAAGCAGCAGGUUAAUACCCCGCUGUUCUGACGGUACCCAAAGAAUAAGCACCGGCUAACUUCGUG
RNAcentral lists this ribosomal RNA (492 nucleotides) under uncultured bacterium. RNAcentral's name for it is "partial 16S ribosomal RNA". It matches the Rfam family "Bacterial small subunit ribosomal RNA", at positions 29 to 507 of the family's 1533-position model. The record is from RNAcentral.